Melospiza melodia melodia is the source of this 278-nucleotide long non-coding RNA. RefSeq lists it as uncharacterized. The transcript has 2 exons. The record is from RefSeq and is a predicted model, not a curated record. Lineage: Eukaryota; Metazoa; Chordata; Aves; Passeriformes; Passerellidae.
CCAGAGGAUGCCCGCGUUCCUGCAGAGCUGCCGCCGCGCAGAGAGGCUCGGUAGUUUUUUAUCCGGGUGAAGGAACUCCCGGCAGGACAGCACCUGGUCGGGGCAGGUGGGACUCUGCGAGGAGCAGGAUGAGGUUCAUGCCAUCCCAUAGAGCUUGCCUUUUGGAGGUGUUGUUGCAUGAGCUGGCUGCAAAAUGGGAGCCACACCUAUUGAUGAGGUGCUUUACUUUUAUUUUUUGAGAGCCCUUAAUUAAAACCAAUAAAAGCAGAGGAAGAUCA